CUGACCUGAGUACUGUCCAGGCCCUGCGCUCCGGGCCUGGUACUGCACUCCUUGGGGAGCUUCAGGGCUGGUGGAGAGGUGCUCUACCCACUCUGCCCUGCGUCUGCUCUCUGCCCAGACACCCCAAAAGUAGCCACAGAGAGAAGAUAAACUUUGGCUUCGGGGGCCCAGCUCCACCACUUCCAGUCUGCGUGGUGUUGCUCAAGUGGCCUGGCUUUGCUGAGCCGCUUCCUCACGUUGUGCGUGGGAUGAUGGAGCCACCCUUCAGAAGCUCCAGGGAUUCACAGGAUGAGGCAUGCAAGAGCCUCGGGUCACUAAGUGCUGGUGCCUGCUCGCAAGGGACAGCUGCCCACCGAGCUCAGGGCCGAGGCCAGGGGAUCCUGCCCAAGCCCUGGGAAACUGUGAUACAUCUCUGACCACAGGGCAGCCCCCCUGCCAGCCCUCCUGGCCUGCAUGGGACUAGGGAAGGAGGGUGAGGCCUAUAUUUAUCUGAAGCACAAGGAGGCUUGUCUGGCAGUCAGAUGCAAAUGCCUUCAUCCCGUCUGGGCUGAGAGCCGCUCACAGUGGACAAGUCUUUCCCGCCUGUUCCACACCAGCCUGGUUCCAGUGACAGGAGUGGGGAGAGCUUCGCCAUGCCUGGAGGCUCGUUCCUGGGCUGUGAAAGUGACAGAGGCCCAGGCUGAGCUUAGAUGAGAAAAUAAAGGCCAAGGAAGUGGCCUCAAGAUCUGGCCCAGAGAAGAGCUGGUCCUGAAGACCCUGCAUCUGCGCCACACCAAUGCUCUGCCCACCCGCUCCCCUGGGGUCUCAGCAUGCCCAGCAUGUUCCCCACCCUGGGCCUGUGCCGUGAGCUCCCGUCAGAGGUUCCUAGCAAGCCCCUGCUGGCUGUGCCAGGACCCAGGAGCCUCGCGAGCUAAAUAGGAUGUCCUGCUGUUCUGGGCUUUGCCAGCUGCUGCACGAGUAGCCUUGCUUUGUGUCAUCCUGGGCAGGCGCUGCAUGUCCAGAGAGGAGACAGCAUGCCUGCUCUUUGCUGUGGGACUAGCGGUGUCGGGGUGGGGCAGGGGAAAGCAGAAACCAAACUCCUCCUUCCCGGUCUGCCUGCCCUAACCUCUCUCUAAGCCUCACGGACAUCCUGAUUGAGGGAAGUGAAAGUCACUCUGAUAUCUGGAAAUGCAGCUGAUGAAGCCAUUAAAUUCCAUGUCCCUUCUCCUUCCAGGGGUCCUCUAGGGUCCUGGGAGCCUGGCCAACAGGAAUCUGUUUUAUGAUCCUGGGUUUCUGCCAGCAGGAAGGCUGGGUGAGGCCGGUCCGUAUGUGCU
This 1313-nucleotide long non-coding RNA is filed under the name Callithrix jacchus (white-tufted-ear marmoset). Its description in RNAcentral is "lncRNA (ENSCJAG00000074334.1)". Lineage: Eukaryota; Metazoa; Chordata; Mammalia; Primates; Cebidae. The record is from RNAcentral.